CACGGGGCCGCCAAGGCCGAACGGAAACGCCGCUCCGGCGGUGGCCGGAACCGGGACCACCAUAUUUGGCUUUUCCUCCUCACCUUUUAUGGUACUUCCGAGGCCCAAAAAAGGCACUUCCUGCUCCCACCCCCCCGGGACUACGCGACGCAUCUUCCGGGAGCUCCGUGGCCUGGGCGCUGCGGUUGUCUCGGCGUGGUUCCGCCCUCGCCCCGGAGCGACCCGGCGGGUUCCUCGCACGCAGCGAGCCCUGAAUUGGCCACGGGCAGCUUUGGGUUUGGGCAGCGUCUGCUUCGCCCAGGGCCCGGCGGAACGCCCAGGGCCGUUCGGACGCCCGCACGACGCGGCCCAGCCCGGGGGAGCUGCGGCUGAGGGCGGGCCCCUGCCUUCCCUCGCUCCGUUUUCCGGUGCGGCUUUUUUCACGGGGCUUUGUCGCGUUGUAUACGUCCGUCAGAAAUAGGCCAGCCAAGCUCUUUCCGUGGUCUCUGCUGCCACCGCGUGGACAAACUGGAAUACGGCGUCCGUUGAAAGUGGCGCGUGCGUAGUGGGGUUGUAGAGCCGGGCGCAUGCGGAGCGGGGCGUUACCGCUGGCGGACGAGUGGUUUGUUGAGACGAGCGCAUCCGUGGUGCUGUGCCGGAGGUUGCGCCUGCAUCGUAUUUUGUGACUAAAGUAAGACAGUACCUCACUUAAAUGUCACAUUUCACGGAGAAAUAUUGAACUGAGCCCUCAAAAAACAGUUAGGCCUUUUCUCAUUAUAAUUCCAAUUUAGACCCAAGUGAUAAGGCCUUUUCUCCCCACAAUACCUGUGUUGAUGCCAAUCGUUAGAUGUUUGCUCUCUAAAGUACUGCUUUUCAUCCACAAAAGAAGUGACUUUCUUCACAAAAUGCCGCUUCUUAGCACAAUGUGAUGCUUUCUCCCAAAAGUACUGCGAUUGAUCUCAGUAUUAUGCAUUUUCUCCCCAAAAUACCCUUUUUUGUCUCCAAAAUACAACAAUUUCUCCACUUAAUUUACAUCAAAAUUUAGACACUUUUACCCCGAAUAUCACUAUUUAUCCAGAAAAUAAAAUGUUGUCUCUUAACUACCACUGAACACUAAACAGAUGCUCUGCUGGAAUUCGGAAUAAAGGGGAGGGGGGGGGGGAGCUAAAAGGGUAAAAGUUAAAAAGUUAAAGUUAAAGGUAGUUUAUAGAAACAAGUAAAGGAAACUUAAAGGUAACAAGUAAAAGAAACAAGGGGCCUGAGAGAGCAGGGACGAUGCAGAUAAGGAGUGAGACCUCACGGAUGACCAGAAGAGGAGUUGCAUUCCCCCUGAUAAGAACAAGAGGGGGUCUGCAUGCUAAAGGCAAGAGGGGGUCUGUAGGCUAAAGAGCUAUUGAAUAUAGCUAUUGAAUAAUUCCUAGAACUAUUGACUAUGUAUUAGAAGUCUAAGAAAUCAUUGACUAUGUAUCAGAAUUCCGAGAAAUCACUAUGUAUUAAAUGUACCUAUAUCUGUGUCACGAUUUUACAAGUCAGUGUGCAAGUUUGGUGGAGCUAUCCCCCUUGCACCCGGUGCUGCGCAAUGCAGGAAUAAACAUACCUGUUUUAUAACCCAUCUCUGGAUUGUAGAGUUUGAUUCCGCAGGUCGUUUUGGCGACCCAGAUGGGACCCUCUCUGUUUGGCUGCAGGACCGACUGAGAGAGGGGACACCUUUGGCGCGCCCCGAGAUUUCUCGGAAGGACUCCCUUCCCUCAUCCGAUCACUGUGGGAGCAGACAAGGACCCUCUAUCGGCGGAUAAGGUAUGUUUAAUGGGUACAGGGGAAUCUGUAAGUCGUGAGGAGAUGUCCUACGCGGGAGGUGUGAGCUGUCAAGCUCUCCCCUUUGGUAAAGGGCCCGGGCGGUUGAUUGUGUAAUCAUGAUUAGUGGCCGUGUAGAUCGUAGGUUCGAGUCCCACUGAAGUGGUCUCUGAGCUGUUUCAGUUGUGGGUUUAAGUCCCACUGAAGCGGUCUGAGCUGUUCUAAUUGUGGGUUUGGGUCCCACUAAGGCAGUCUCAGCUGUGGGUUCGAGUCCCACCGGGAUUACCAGGUGUGCACGAGAAGAGCUAUUUUUGCUCCCCCUUAAGGGGUUGGUUGGUGAGAAAGUAUAGUGGAUACUCUGUCAAUGUUAAUGUGGGUUUUCUUAGCUGUAUUAGCAGGAAUUGUUGUGUAUUUGGCCAUUAUUAACAUCUCUUAUUAGCGCUUGUUACUGUAAGUGUUGAACAAACAACUUUGAUAUUUUCUGAGAAAUGUUGUACCUUGAACUGUGUAAAGACCGGUCUUGUGCAGUCUGUGUGAGUGUGGUUGUGAGUGAGAUGCAGCACAGCUGCGGGGCGAGAGCGGAAUCCCGACCCACGGUUCUGUCCUCCUGUGAGGGAAACGUCCCGGGACAGACGAAGCGAAAGGUCUCUAUGUUCUAUAUGUUACAAUGUUUUUGUAUUUGUUAUGAUGUUUUUGUCUUAUUAAUUGUUGUUAGUAUUGUGGCAAUUGUAACGCACAUAAUAGUGAAGUGCAUAUGGAAUCGGGUGGUGGAAAAAGCCCACAAAAGGCAAACCACAAUUAGUAUCGAGAACCUGUUGCUUUUGUUGU
Coturnix japonica (Japanese quail) is the source of this 2601-nucleotide non-coding RNA. The record is from RefSeq and is a predicted model, not a curated record. NCBI's taxonomy places the organism in Eukaryota, Metazoa, Chordata, Aves, Galliformes, Phasianidae.